Molecule: ribosomal RNA, 497 nt
Filed under: uncultured bacterium
Lineage: Bacteria
Description: partial 16S ribosomal RNA
Rfam family: Bacterial small subunit ribosomal RNA
Source: RNAcentral
GAUGAACGCUGGCGGCGUGCCUAAUACAUGCAAGUCGAGCGAACAGACGAGGAGCUUUCUCCUCUGACUUUAGCGGCGGACGGGUGAGUAACACGUGUAUAAACUACCUAUAAGACUGGGAUAACUUCGGGAAACCGGAUCUUAUACCGAAUAAUAUAUUGAACCGCAUGGUUCAAUAGUUAAAUACGGUUUUUCGUUCGCUUAUAGAUUGAUCCGCCGCGCAUUAGCUAGUUGGUAAGGUAACGGCUUACCAAGGCAAGGAUGCGUAGCCGCCCUGAGAGGGUCAACGGCCACACUGGCAGUGAGAAAGGGCACCGACUCCUAGGCGAGGACGCAGUAGGGAAUCCUACGCAAUGGGGGAAAGCGUGACGGAGCACAGUCGCGUGAGUCAUGAAGGUCUUCGGACGGGAAAACUAUGUUAUUCGGGAAGAACAAAUGUGUAAGUAACCAUGCACGUAUUGACGGUACCUAAUCAGAAAGCCACGGCUAACUACGUG